GACGAACGCUGGCGGCGUGCUUAACACAUGCAAGUCGAACGGAAAGGCCCUGCUUUUGUGGGGUGCUCGAUUGGCGAACGGGGGAGUAACACGUGAGUAACCUGCCCUUGACUUUGGGAUAACUUCAGGAAACUGGGGCUAAUACCGGAUAGGAGCUCCUGCUGCAUGGUGGUGGUUGGAAAGUGUCGGCGGUUGGGGAUGGACUCGCGGCUUAUCAGCUUGUUGGUGGGGUAGUGGCUUACCAAGGCUUUGACGGGUAGCCGGCCUGAGAGGGUGACCGGGCACAUUGGGACUGAGAUACGGCGCAGACUCGUACGGGAGGCAGCAGUGGGGAAUCUUGCACAAUGGGCGGAAGCGUGAUGCAGCAACGCCGCGUGCGGGAUGACGGCCUUCGGGUUGUAAACCGCUUUCGCAUGUGACGAAGCGUGAGUGACGGUAAUGGGUAAAGAAGCACCGGCUAACUACGUG
Molecule: ribosomal RNA, 468 nt
Filed under: uncultured bacterium
Lineage: Bacteria
Description: partial 16S ribosomal RNA
Rfam family: Bacterial small subunit ribosomal RNA
Source: RNAcentral